GCUGGGUGUGGUGGCACAAACCUGUAAUCCCAGCAACUAGAGAGGCUGAGUCAGGAGGAUCGCAGGUUUGAAGCCAGCCUCAGCAGUUUAAGGAGGCUGUGGGCAACCUAGCAAGACCCUGUCUCAA
Molecule: small RNA, 127 nt
Filed under: Marmota monax (woodchuck)
Lineage: Eukaryota; Metazoa; Chordata; Mammalia; Rodentia; Sciuridae
Source: RNAcentral